GCCCCCGGGCCGAAAAAGCCGGGAUUAAUACCGCAUACGAUCCACGGAUGAAAGCGGGGGACCUUCGGGCCUCGCGCUAUAGGGUUGGCCGAUGGCUGAUUAGCUAGUUGGUGGGGUAAAGGCCUACCAAGGCGACGAUCAGUAGCUGGUCUGAGAGGACGACCAGCCACACUGGGACUGAGACACGGCCCAGACUCCUACGGGAGGCAGCAGUGGGGAAUUUUGGACAAUGGGCGAAAGCCUGAUCCAGCAAUGCCGCGUGUGUGAAGAAGGCCUUCGGGUUGUAAAGCACUUUUGUCCGGAAAGAAAUCCUUGGCUCUAAUACAGUCGGGGGAUGACGGUACCGGAAGAAUAAGCACCGGCUAACUACGUGCCAGCAGCCGCGGUAAUACGUAGGGUGCGAGCGUUAAUCGGAAUUACUGGGGCGUAAAGCGUGCGCAGGCGGUUUGCUAAGACCGAUGUGAAAUCCCCGGGCUCAACCUGGGAACUGCAUUGGUGACUGGCAGGCUAGAGUAUGGCAGAGGGGGGGUAGAAUUCCACGUGUAGCAGUGAAUGCGUAGAGAUGUGGAGGAUUACCGAUGGCGAAGGCAGCCCCCUGGGCCAAUACUUGACGCUCAUUGCACGAAAAGCGGGGAGCAAACAGGAUUAGAUACCCUGGUAGUCCACGCCCUAAACGAUGUCAACUAGUUGUUGGGGAUUCAUUUCCUUAGUAACGUAGCUAACGCGUGAAGUUGACCGCCUGGGGAGUACGGUCGCAAGAUUAAAACUCAAAGGAAUUGACGGGGACCCGCACAAGCGGUGGAUGAUGUGGAUUAAUUCGAUGCAACGCGAAAAACCUUACCUACCCUUGACAUGGUCGGAAUCCUGCUGAGAGGUGGGAGUGCUCGAAAGAGAACCGGCGCACAGGUGCUGCAUGGCUGUCGUCAGCUCGUGUCGUGAGAUGUUGGGUUAAGUCCCGCAACGAGCGCAACCCUUGUCCUUAGUUGCUACGCAAGAGCACUCUAAGGAGACUGCCGGUGACAAACCGGAGGAAGGUGGGGAUGACGUCAAGUCCUCAUGGCCCUUAUGGGUAGGGCUUCACACGUCAUACAAUGGUUCGGAACAGAGGGUUG
This 1112-nucleotide ribosomal RNA is filed under the name Burkholderia sp. PR4_19. Its description in RNAcentral is "bacterial SSU rRNA". It matches the Rfam family "Bacterial small subunit ribosomal RNA", at positions 142 to 1249 of the family's 1533-position model. The record is from RNAcentral. Lineage: Bacteria; Pseudomonadati; Pseudomonadota; Betaproteobacteria; Burkholderiales; Burkholderiaceae.